Molecule: ribosomal RNA, 824 nt
Filed under: Lupinus angustifolius (narrow-leaved blue lupine)
Lineage: Eukaryota; Viridiplantae; Streptophyta; Magnoliopsida; Fabales; Fabaceae
Source: RNAcentral
UACCUGCACCUGAACAGAAAGACCCUAUGAAGUUUCACUGUUCCGUGGGAUUGGCUUUGGGCUUUUCCUGCGCAACUUAGGUAACGGAGGUGUUAAAGAUUUCCUCGGGACAGACGAAGAUUGGCCCUCGAGUGCAAGGGCAGAAGGGAGCUUCACUACAAGACCCACCUGUAGAGCAGGGACGAAAGUCGACCUUAGUGAUCCGACGGUGCCGAGUGGAAGGGUCGUCACUCAACGGAUAAAAGUUACUCUAGGGAUAACAUGCUGAUCUUCCCCAAGAGCUCACAUCGACGGGAAGGUUUGGCACCUCGAUGUCGGCUCUUCGCUACCUAGGGUUGUAGUAUGUUCCAAGGGUUGGGUUGUUCGCCCAUUAAAGCGAUACGUGAGCUGGGUUCAGAAUGUCGUGAGACAGUUCGGUCCAUAUCCGGUGUGAGCGUUAGAACAUUGAGAGGACCUUUCCCUAGUACGAGAGGACCGGGAAGGACACACCCCUAGUGUACCAGUUAUCGUGCCCACGGUAAAUGCUGGGUAGCCAAGUUCGAAGCGAAUAACUACUGAAAGCAUAUAAGUAGUAAGCCCACCCCAAGAUGAGUCUCUCCUAUUCCGACUUCCCAGAGCCUCAGAUUUUGAGAAGAGUUGCUCUUUGGAGAGCAUAGUACGAUGAAAGUUGUAAGUUGUGUUCGGGGGGAGUUAUUCUCUAUCAUUGGUCUCUAUAGUAGAAUCAGUCGGGGCCUGAGAGGCGGUGGUUUACCCUGUGGUGAAUGUCAGCGGUUCGAGUCUGGUUAUCUCCAACUCGUGAACUUAGCCGAUAUAAAGCUAUAUCA